Long non-coding RNA from Lycium ferocissimum, 3903 nucleotides. RefSeq lists it as uncharacterized. The transcript has 2 exons. Lineage: Eukaryota; Viridiplantae; Streptophyta; Magnoliopsida; Solanales; Solanaceae. The record is from RefSeq and is a predicted model, not a curated record.
GACUCGAUGGAAAUGUACCCAACUAUGGGAGGCUUAGUGGAUAUACCCAACUGAUCAGUGGUUGUACAAUAGGUACCAUACCCGGCCGACUAUAAUGUUGCUCGGUGUAGUAAUUCCCCUAGUGGCACCCAUACUAAUUCCCCUAGUGGACGAACCAAUCCCCUUAACCAAUCAUCAUCUACUUGAUUAAUUUUAACACAUUCAAGAAUAUAAUGAUAAUAUAAAAUCUCCAAACUAUCUAAUCAUGCUAUAAAUAAAUAAUGGUGCGAAAGUCCUAAAUAUUACAACCCCAAAAUUCGAAAGUCAUCGCACAAGGACUCUAAAACAUAACGGUCUAAAAUAAUCAUAAAUGUUUGAAAUGAAAUACACAUCCAAAAUAAGAAAGAUCUUUAGGCGGCCUGGCAUGGAUAGGAGCUCACCCUCAAAUCUGUCAAAAACUGGCCUCACGCUAAAUAUGAGGCCUGGUAGACGUCUCUGGAUCCCAAUCUACACUCAAAGGAAUGCAGCAAGGUAGCAUCAGUACAAACACUAUGUAUCGGUAGAUAUCAUAGGCCGACUAAGAUUAGCAUCAUGCAUACAAUCAUAAAAUCAAUAGAAUAGACACAUGGGCACAACAGCAUAUAGCCAUAUGAAACUAUCAAAAAGAAUCACCCAACACCGAAAUAAGAUAAGCCCACACAAACAACAAUCAAUAAAAGUAACUCAACCCGUGUCAUUACCAACAUAACCAUAACACACGAAUUUUCUCAACUCUAUCACGUAUCCGUACACACAUGCUAAGUGGUAUUGUUUGCCCAAAUAGCUAUGACCUGCAGGGGACCCAUGGUGUCCAUGUACCACUCACUUCAGAACUGACCUCGGAUCACGAGCCCAUAACUAGGCUCCAUCCUCACCCCCUGUCAAAUGUGUCUUUUCAUAUUUAUAAUAUUUUUCUCAUCACAAUGUAUUUCCGUUCCACAAUCAAUAAAGGAUGUGAACAAUCAAUAAAUCAAUAUCAAGGAACACAUGUCACAAUAUCACAAGUCAUAUCAAGACUCAAGAAUCAAUUCAGCAAUAGCAUGAUUAAGGCAGUACUUCAAGUCAACAAGAAGAGUAUUCAUUAACUCCUUCUUGAUCAUAACAUAAUAGUUCAUCACAUAAUAAAUUAAUCAAUGUCAAACUUAGGAAUUUCCAACCACACUUUAUGUCCAAAGCCCUAAUCAUGCUUCUCCUAUCAAUUUCAUAACAUAUACAGUCAACUAAUACAAGUCUAACUCAAGUAGACCGUAACCUACCUCAAAGUCGAACUAGAACAAUGCAAUCACUCUGCAAUAGCCUUCUCCUUUCGCAAAGCUUUAGAACGUUCAAAGUCUAGCAAUCAUAACAUUAAGUGAGUAAUGGAUCAUCUACUCAAACAAACAAUAAUUGGGGAAGAGAACCCAACUACUUCUACCCUUUUGAAAUGGGUGAACUACCACUAAGUGUGAAUUCAUACUAACAUCAAUCCCAAUAAUCCUAUUCUAUCUAUUCAUGGGUUUUCCACUCAAUUCAACCCCUUUCAAUCAGUUUUUAGGCUAAAGCUUCCAUUUUUAUUGGAACCCUAAGUCUCAAUCAACAAUUUCCACCAUUAACAACCAAUUUCUCACCCUCGGAAGUGAUAAUCUAUGCUUCUCGACGAUUAAACAAAUAAUAAAAUCAAUAGCCCAUUAAUUAUUCAAGGGUUUACAGUUUCUAGGGUUCUAAAAUUUUCUUCCACCAUUAAAGGACCCUUAAUUCAUGUAGGACUUAAGAAGAUGAUGGAAUGAACAAAGUAAAGGGUUGAGACUUACCUUUCAAGAGCGUUUUAGCCCUAGCCUUAGAAAUUUUCCACAAGAGUUCUUGGGAACUAUUUUGGAGUUAUGUAGGGAAUGGGUUCAGAAUAAAGAAUAUAAAACACUGAUUUUGCCUCCCGUCUAUCACUGCAGCGGUCAAUGUCUCGCUAUAGCGGGAAAUCUCCUGCUAUGGCGGACCUCAUUAACUCUUCCUGGCGCCCGGCGGUGAUCCACCACCAGCUACGACUGACUCACUACGAUCCCACAGCCACUGCAGCGGUAUAUUUUGACCAGUAGCUCUGGUUUUUCCACCAGUUUUCACCCAAAAAUCCCAACACCAAUCCAAGGCCCUACAGAUGCAAACCUAACAUGCACAUAUACAUAAAAACAUGCUAUGGAGUCACCCGCGACCUUGGAAUUCCCAACGGAGGUCUAGUUUUCUAAGUUACCCCCAUAACAACCUAGCGGGUCGUUACAUCAGAUAUCAAACGGGGUGUAACACAUCGCUUGUAAGGUAGACAUUCUUUUUAUAUGACAACCAUGUAAGGUCCAAUAUGUACAUAUAUAUGAUACUCAAGUAACCCUGUGAGGCAUAUAAGUCAAGUUUUAGCUGAUUGCAAGUUCAAGGUAGUGCCCACAUAUAGGGAAAAAUCUAUCAAAAAUUAGUAGAGAGACCUUCCCUGUAUACCUCUACAUUCGAGGACGAAUGUUCUUGGGGGGGGAGGGAGAUUACACCUCGUACUUUUGUACGCUAAGCUAUGUCAAAAGUUAAUCGACGUAAGCUCAGAGAAUAAGAUUAUUAUUAAGAUUACUACUGCUUAAACCAUGUUUAACAAGUGUUAAGUAAGUUCCGUGGAGAUUAGAGGUCAAGCAAAUCGAAGGGAUUAAGUUUCGUCAAGAUCCUAUGCUUGGAUAGUAAUUACGGCAGAAUUUGUCUCAAAUUUUCGGUGAUUUAUCUCCAAGCAUAUGAUGAGUUAUGGUGUGCAUUAACUAUCCAAAUUCAAGUUCAUCGAUUCUAGUUUCUAACGAAAUAAACCGUUCGUUAAUCGGAGCUUUGCAUAAAAAGUUAUGUACGUUUUAAGAAAGCGCUGCAGAGUAGACUCGAAAAAUGGUGGGAAGUACGGACCGUUUUUAUAAAAACAGCCCAUUUUCUAGGCCGUGUUUUGAGGCGGUGGUAGCCCAUUGUUUUUAUGUAUUUAAGAUGGUGGCCAUGCUUUGGGGCCUCAUUUCACACCUAACCUGAUCCUAAUACACCAUAAAAGCUCUCUAGAUAGUAUCCCUUCCAUCCCAAGCUAAAUCUACAAGGUUAAGACACCAUUCUAGCCUUGGGAAGUUCAUAAAGGUUGUGUAUUUCCUUCUCUCAUCUUGUUGUCUAAUUGGAAGAUCUUUGGGGUGAAGUAAAAUUGAAUAAGAUAUUGUCCUUGCUAAGUUGAGGUAAAUUUCCCUCUUCUUAAGAGUAUCUAAAAUUUAUCUAUGUCAUAGUCAACUUGCUAAAGGGAUAAAUGUGAAUUUACAUCGGAAGAUCGUACAUGCUGUUGUUCUUGUCUUAUGGACAGAUUGAUGGUUGGUCUGAGUUAGGUGGUGGUUGAAUAUCGAUAGAUUGGAUGUGUCGUUGUUAUUCUUGUUGCUUUGAGUUUAUGGGAUGUGAAAGAAACAGGGAAAAUGUUGCCCGAUUCAUUACAGAACGAGCGUGCAGCUCGAUAUACAUAAGAUACUAAUAUUUCCCUAGCUUAAUAAGAAUGUUAUCAUUGUUAUAGGUUGAAGUGCUACAUGGACUUAUUGGAUUGUGUUAUCUAAUGACUCAACAAAGGUAUGUAAGAUUGGGAUCCACAGACGUCUACCAAACCUCAUAUUUAGUGUGAGGCCAGUUUUCAACAGAUUUGAGGGUGAGCACCUAUCCAUGCCAGGACGCCUGAAUAUCUUUUUUAUUUUGGAUGUCUAUUUCACUUCAGACAUUUAUGAUUAUUUCAGACAGUUGUUCAUUCUUCAGACAAUUAUGUUUUAGAGUUCUUGUACGAUGGCUUUUAGAUUUUGGGGUUGUAAUAGUCAGGACUCCCGCACCUUUAUUUAUUUAUGGCAUGAUUAGACAGUUUGGAGAUUUUUAUUAUCAUUA